Molecule: signal recognition particle RNA, 300 nt
Filed under: Callithrix jacchus (white-tufted-ear marmoset)
Lineage: Eukaryota; Metazoa; Chordata; Mammalia; Primates; Cebidae
Description: Metazoan signal recognition particle RNA (ENSCJAG00000072828.1)
Rfam family: Metazoan signal recognition particle RNA
About the family: The signal recognition particle (SRP) is a universally conserved ribonucleoprotein.
Source: Rfam by way of RNAcentral
GCCGGGCACGAUGGCACAUGCCUGUCGUCCCAACUAUUCCGGAGGCUGAGGCUGAAGGAUCACUUGAGUCCAGGAGUUCUGGGCUGUAAUGAGAUAUGCUGAUCGAGUGUCUGCACUAAGUUCAGCAUCAAUAUGGUGACCUCCCUGGAGCCGGGGACCAUCAGGUUGCCUAAGGAGGGGUGAACCGGCCCAGGUCUGAAACGGAGUAGGUGAAAACUCCUGUGCUGAUCAGUAGUGGGACCGCACCUGUGAAUAGCCACUACACUCCAGCCUGGGCAACAUGGUGAGACCCUGUUUCUA